AGCGAGGUAGGGCAGUCUGGAGUGCCCGCGAGGCUCAUAACCUCGAGGUCGCUGGUUCAAAUCCGGCCCUCGCUA
Molecule: transfer RNA, 75 nt
Filed under: Candidatus Woesearchaeota archaeon
Lineage: Archaea; Nanobdellati; Candidatus Woesearchaeota
Description: tRNA-Met
Rfam family: tRNA
About the family: Transfer RNA (tRNA) molecules are approximately 80 nucleotides in length.
Source: RNAcentral